UUUCUCACACUAUUCAUAUCUCUCACUCUCUCUCUCUCUCUUAUACAUCUUCAUGAUCAGUUCGUUCACCAGAAUACACCGCCAUCGCCAACUUCAUCUUGAACUCCUCUACCGAUUGAAGAUCUGAAUGGAGAUGAUCCGUUGUUGAUCGAGAAUACAAAGUGCAUCUGAUCUCUACCGCUCUGUUUCUGUCUAAAGCACUUUACCUAGCCUUUUGAACGAUCCCUUUGGUUCCUGAUGCCUCGUUUGAUGUUCAUGCAUCUUUCAUAAAUGAAUCUCCAUAUCAACAACAAAAAAAUCACAACCGACUCAACAUCUUCAAAUCGGACAGAUCCAUCAUCUGCGAUCCUCAUCUCACCGUCGCUACCGGUGGCCUAGCGCGGUAAAGUGAUUCUGACUCUUCAACGGUCAUGAAUUUUAGAAAAGAUAAAUCCCUAACUCUCGAUACCGAUCUCAAUUUUCCUCCACCGGAAGUUGCUUGAACGGAGGUUUUUUCUUUUCUGCAUUUCUUUGGUUUUUUGGAUCAGAUUUCACUUUUGUUUUUUCCAGCAGUACCAAAUUAAGGUGACAAUCUCUAUGCUUGGAUAGAGACCUAGCUCAAUUAUAAUGCUAGAAAAGACUCUAGUGUGCUUCCUUUUGUUGGAUCAGACUUGGUUUUAAGCCCGACACAGUGGAGUAGUCAUGUUGUUGGUUCUUCAGGAGACCGUGGCAAGGCGAAGGCAUGAUCGUACCGCUCCUCAUGAUUUUGUAGUAAUGUGAUUCUGGGAAUACGUUAAAUGCUUUGUAUUGAAAACCUUUUUGUAAAGAUUUAAUGGAAUCGAGUUGUUUUUGAAAAAUUUAAAAAUGGUUGUAUUUUUUGGUUGUUACAAGUUGGUAUCAGAGCCUUGGUUUGAGUGAAUUGGAGAAACACUCGUGUGACUCCUGUCUCAAAUCGAGGAGAGUUUUCAAAAGAGAGAUUAAAAUGGUUUUCAAAAUUAGUAAAGGAGGACGCAGAGGUACGAUCAGCCGGAGCCAGUAAGUAACCCCAAAAUACCAUGCGUGUUAUUUGUCUUUGAGCUUUGAUAGAAUAGCAUGCUAGUGAUAGGCUAGGGAUCUUCAGGAUUUCAUGAUAAUGUUGACUGAUUUGUGAUGCCUGUAACCUAGGGUUUCCUUAUGGGAGAUUUUCAGUGUUCCUCUAGUGGUGAGGGUUGAGUGUUGUUAUGUAUGUUUCUCUAGGGUGUUGUGGUAGUACUUCAUACAAAUAUGGGUAGGUGUGGAAGGUAGUAUGGGCCCGUACUACUGAAAGCACAGGACCCCAUACGCGUAUCAGGGAAAUCAUUAUCUCUAGGGUUGGGUUGAGAGAGUUGGAUCCCAGGAUAGUGGGAAGAGUCUGAGAUUUUGUGUGGUGUUUUUCAGUAUGGAGAUUCUGAGGCAUGAUGAGAGUGGAUCCGGAUCAGGAUCGAGAGCAGGAGAGGGAGUUUUGGGCGGGUCAGUACCGCCCGAGGUUAUCGGUCAGAUGAGCAUGUGCGAGUUGGAUGCGAGGAUUCGUGAGAUCCUGCGUGAUGAGAUUGCUGAGUUGUUCCGGGUUGAGUUGCCGGAGCUGUUUGGGUCGAUCAAGACCGCCAUGGUCGAGUAUUUUGAUGAGCGCUAUGUGGCUCUCACAGAGACGGCUGCCACGGCGGCUAUAGCAGCUGUAGCAGCGGCAGGGGGAGGAGCUGGUCAGGGCGUUCAGCAUCAAGACUUCGACAAUACGAAACCUCCCACCUUUGAUGGAGUUCAGGACUCGAUUGUUGCUAUGAGAUGGUUAUCGGACAUGGAGGGGUGUUUCUUCACAUGUUCAUGCGUUGCUGAUCAGAGGGUGAGGUGUGCUCUGAACCUGUUGAGGCUCGAGGUGAAGGAUUGGUGGAGAUUGACCACGGGGUCAUAUUCAGAUGCGCAGAGGGCUGCGGUUUCAUGGGAUCAGUUCAGGGAGAUGUUCAACACUCGUUAUGUUCCGCAUGUUGAGAGGGAGAGAUUGGCUCAGGAGUUCCUUGAGCUGAAGCAGGGUUCGGAGUCGGUGACUGAGAUCACCAGGAUGUUCACUGAGAGGGCGAUAUUUUGCCUAGAGUUCGCUUCAGAGCAGGCUCAGAUGUCUUGAUAUCUGAGCAUGCUCAAGAGGGACAUCAGACAGUUUGUGUCUGCGCAGAGGUGCGAGACCUUAUUGGAGUUGCAGGAGGCCGCUAGGCGGCGUGAGUUAGAGAUUGAGUUGCAGUUGCGUGAGCUGAGACAGGCUCCGGUGCAGUCGCAGCCGGCGCCGAAACGGUCCAAGACCGUUGAUGUUAGAGUGGGGGAUCUGAGCAGCCACACUUUUGGGAAGUGUGGGAGGGGUCACACCGGAGUUUGUAGGUCCGGUGGUGCAUGCCGCAAGUGCGGAAAGGAGGGGCACUAUGCGAGGGAUUGUCGGCAGUCGACGCCGGUUUGGGAUUUGAGGAUUUGUUAUCAUUGUCAUCAGAUUGGACAUUUGAGGGUCAACUAUCCAUAGCUUGCUGCAGGAACGGUGCAAGCUCCAGCACCGGCCACUUUGAGGAUCACGGGUGGAGGUCAGGGUGGAGCAGAGCCCCCAAGGGCUCAGGGUCGUGCUUAUUAGCUUGCGGCAGAGGAGGUCAGAGCAGUGCCGGAUGCAGCUGCGGGUAUGUUUUUUUCUUGAUAUCUUGUUAUCUUGUGAUUAUUGUGGUGUUUUGUUUAUGUGCUGGUAUCUUUGUGUGGUUUUCGAUGCAGUAUUCGUCGUUUUGAGAGUUUUGGGUUGGUUAUGGGUUGUUGUUUUGGGAACUUCGUUGGUUAUCAUCCAUGAGGGUUAUUAGUGGAAACCUAGCAUUGGGUUGAAGGCCGGGUAGCAUCUGCUUUCUGAGAAGUGGUUAGAUGCAGGUUGAAUUUCUUUCGAGCGGGUUAUCAGUGUUUAUGUGGGAUCUUGUUAAGGUUGUUUAUGCUUGUGGGAAUCAGUCUGCGUGUAAGUGUUGGUUUUGUGCAGAGUUGUUCUGGGUGGUCGGUGUUGGUGACCGGUGGUUGUUGAUCAGUGCUACAAGUGAGGGAGAAUUGGAAAAUUCUCCGGGAGAUCGAUGAGUAUUUGAGGGUGCUUAGCUGUUGGGAUUCAGCAGUGGUUCUAUCAGUCAAGAGUAUAGGCUGGUACGAGUAAGUGGCAGGCAUGCGGGGCGGGGUACAGACCUAGGCUAUUCGAUUGUGGAGGGCCUGGGAGCAGGCCAGGAUCGAGCAUGUGCGAUUGAGACAGAGUUCGCAACCCUUAAAGGGCUAGAACAGUAUGCAUGGGAGGAUUUCCGGGAGAGAUAGCUCGGAAUGAUGAAUGUUAGUUGGGCGGUCCGGAUAGACUGAAGGCCGGUGGGUGUACCAGUCAAGCCGAAGGCUCGAGUCGGAGAACGGUCCAGCUAAACUGAAGGAACUGAGAGCGGUCCAGAUUGGCUGAAGGUUCUGAGGGUGGUCCAGAUUGGCUGAAGGCCUAGUGAGGCGGUCCAGUCAUGCUGAAGACUCUGCAGGUUUUGUUGGAUCGGUUCGAGGGUAUGAAUUAAGUUUGUUGCGAAGUGUUAGCAUUAGAAGGUCUGGCCCCGGGUAUUGAUCUUGAGUAGUUGAGAUAGUGCACGGGCUUGAGAGUCCCUGUGAUUAGAGUCAGAGUAUGUGUGUUGGAUGGAUAGCGGAUAUGCUAUAAAAGGGUGGUGUAGCAUUGGGCAAGCACCGUGGCACUUGUCGGAGUGGCAGUGUGGCCAAGUGGAUUCCUUGGUAAAGGAAGAGAGAGAGGUAUGUAACUCCGAGAGGGAGUGCAAGUUCACGGAAGUGAAAGCGGCAUAGCAGAGUUAUGAUUAGAGCAAUUCGAGUAUGGUUAUUGAGCAGCGUGUUUGCGGCAGUGGAAUAGAAGCACAUCUGGUUUGGGAUGUCUGCUGAGGUCGCGGAGGGAAUUCCGCAGGUGUAGAGCCAAGAGGCUCGGAAGGGAUGCAGGGAGAGAGUCUUGGGCUCUCAGUGUGAUUCUGAUCAGGGAAUUGGGUAUGUAUUAGUGGUUCAUCCUGGGGGAUGUUUGAGGAUAUCAUCAGUGUAUCGGGUUUUCCCAACCUGAGGGUGCUAGAGCUAGUUCAGCAGGUGUAUGUGAUUGCAAGAGGAGAACUCAUGGGAGUUGCUCUGAUAUUGAAGAAUGGGUCUUUCCUUCAGCAUGGAAUGGGUAGAGUGGGAUUCGGAUCGGGGAUCCGAUGGUUCAUGGUUUUCUAGCUCAUAUGGGUCGAGUAAUGGUUGUGAUUUGGUGCAGUGAUGCAUCUUGGGUAUUUCUCGAUUGUUGAGUGUGAUUAUCAGAGGGUACAGCCGGUGCCCGGUUUGAGACGGUGGUCAGGACACCGCAAGGAAAGAGGAAAUGAGUUCGAGUUUUGAUGGUUAUGCCUUGAGGAACCUGGUCCGGUUAGGGCCAAGUGGCGCGUCGUGGGAGUAUUUUGGAACUGAGUUGCCGCAGGCUUCGAGGACGAAGCCUAAUGUAAGUGGGGGAGAAUUGUAACAUCCCGGAAUAUCAAGAGUAGAGUUGAAGGGCUAAAAGAGUAAAUUGGGAAAAAGCGACUCAGCGAGUCCAUGGGUGGACUCGGCGAGUAGAGUCACGACUUGGUCGCGUGUCAAGUGGCCGACUCGGCGAGUCAGUAAGAUAGACUCGGCGAGUAGGCGCUGAGUGGAGCAAAGCCUAAUUCUCGAGGUUAAGCCCUAUAUAAAGAACAUAACAUCCAUUCCCCAGCCUCUUUACUCAUCCUCAUGUCCAGAAACCCUAACCUUCAUAUGUGAGUGGAUCAAGUUGCAUUUGGGAGCUUGGAGAAGCAAUUGUUGAGGAAAUCUUGAAGGGUAGGAGGCUUGGAGCAAGGGGCUUUGCUUGGAUUCGAGUUCCAUUGCAGUUGGGGCGUUCUUUUGAGGUAAUAUCUCAUCCUUGGGCUGUUACUCUUUGGAUUCAUCAUUAUGGGGUUUGUGGGGAGCUUAUCUUUUGGUGUUUUGGAGUUUAGAGGUUAGAUCUGAGGUUGCUACCUCAGAUAUGGAAUGGAGAAGGGUUGGAAUGCCUGAAAGUCCCUGUGUUUGAGUGUGUAGUGAUGCUAUCAUGUGCCAAACCCUAGCCCUAAAGUGUAUAAGGCCUAGAUCUCUUUGAAUUCACGUAAAGUUUGCCACUUUACGUGAUGGAUGGGUUGUAGGAGGCUAGAUAUAUGUUUUGGAUAAAUUGCAUGGCCUGGAAUGCUUUUGUAUGGAUUCAGACCGGUGGUACUCGGCGAGUCACAUGGGUGAACUCGACGAGUUGCUUGAAGAUAGGAUGGAACUCGACGAGUUGGAAGAACAACUCGGCGAGUUGGAUGAAGAUGGCCUGGAACUCGGCGAGUUGUAUGAACAACUCGGCGAGUAGGUUGAAGAUAGCCUUAGACUCGGCGAGUCUGUUCUUGGACUCGGCGAGUCUUGUCGAAGAGUCCCAAUAUUUUCUGGUUGAGUCGAGAAUCGGCGAGUCAAUGGAUGACUCGAUGAGUUGUGGGCGAGUGGACUCAGAGUUGUUGGACUCAACGAGUCUCGGGGUGACAUGGCGAGUUAGGUCGCGGAUUGAGGGAAGUUCUGAGUAUGGGGACUCGGCGAGUCAUCGGGUUGACUCGGCGAGUAGAGUCGGUCAGGGGUUGACUUUGACCUUGUCUUUGACCAAGGGUUGACCAGUGGAUUCCAGGGGCAUUUUGGUAAUUAUUGAUUAUUGUUUUGAGUUCAGUGCCUUGGUGGUUGUCCAGUGGUGGAGAUCUUAUCAGUGGUCGGAGCAGCUUGGGUUAUCUGUUCAGUCGGCAGUAUCGAGGUGAGUUAUCCUCACUAUAUCAACAGGGUUUAAGGCACCAAGGCCGACCCUUAUCGGAUUGAGAUCCGGGUAGUUGUUGUUAUGUUAUUUCUUUGAUAUGUUUGCAUCCUGAGAGCUAGGAUGGUAUAUGUUAGAGACCUGGUUGAGAUUGGUAUCCUGAGAGAUAGGGUGAUGCUAUGCUAGUGACCUGUUAGGUCGGUAUCCUGGUUAGGAUGAUGAUAUGUUAUGUGAUCUGUUUGAUCUGCUUGUUGACUGUGAAUUGCUAUAUGAUUGUAUGUAUAUGUGCACAUGGUUGUUUGGACUGGAGUUGGGUUGAGGCGGGUCCUGCUUUGUGCUGUAGGCCAAGAUACCCAGGGCGGACCGGUUGUUCCGAAGGCCCAGCGAGCGGUCCGGAUAGGCUGUAGGCCCCAAGAGGGCGGACCAGACGUGCCGAGGCUCGGAGAGUGGACCAGGCCGACUGAAGGCCCGGUGUGGGCGGACCAGUCAUACUGUAGACUCAGAGAGUGGAUCAGGUGGAUGGAAGGCCCGGUGCGGGCGGACCAAUCACGCUGUAGACUCGAGGUUUAUGGCUAGACUCAGAGAGUGGACCAGGUGGACUGUAGGCCGGUGCGGCGGACCAGUCACACAGUAGACCCGAAGUGCAUGACUGUUCUGUGAUCGGAUAUGUUAUGGAAUUUUAUGCAUGUAAGGUUCUUCAGGAGACCAUGCCAAGGCGAAGGCGUGAUCGUACCGCUCCUCGUGAUUUUGUAGUAAUGUGAUUCUGGGAAUACGUUAAAUGCUUUGUAUUGAAAACCUUUUUGUAAAGAUUUAAUGGAAUCGAGUUGUUUUUGAAAAAUUUUAAAAUUGGUUGUAUUUUUCGGUUGUUACAAAAUUAAGUUAAAUUACGCCACCACGGCAAAACGAAGUCAAGUUCUAUCCUACGUGACAUAUAAAAAUCCCCGUUAAGAAGCAGGUAAAUGAAUAUAUUUAAAUAAACUUACCAACCUUAAUGUAAAAAAGUAUAUUCUUAAUUUAAUUAGUACUUAAUUUAAAAAGGAAGGUUGAUGUUGUGACUUCAAAAAGAGAAGGAAUAUGGGGUUUUAUGCGAAAAAUUCCUAAUAUUUUUGGAAUUUUUUUUGAUAAAGUCCCAAAAAAAAUUUGAACAGAAAAGUCCCAUUAUUUUGAGAAAAUCACAUAAUCUGUCAUUUGCUAUUCAAAUAUAAAAAAUGAAUGAAGUUCUAGUUUCUGUUCAUUUCCAAGAAUAAAUAUUUGCACACUAAUUGUUUGAUCAAAUGCCUAAGAGGGAUUUAUAUAUGUGAUUCACAUGUGAUUCACUUGUGAAUCACAUGAGAUUUACUUGUAAUUCACAUAUUAAUCACAUGUAAUUCACAUGUAAAUCACAAGUGAAUCACAUAUGAAUUACAUGUGAUUUACAUGUAAAUCACAUCUAACUUGUCACACCCCCAAACCGAGUUGGCGGAAACAUUCGGGGCGGAGGACAUCAUGUACAGUAUCACAACAAUGCAUAAUAGUAAACAAGCAACAAAAUCUGUUGCAUUAAUAUUAUAAUUUAAUUCAAGUGUGUUCUGUAUAAAUUUAAGACACCAAAAAUGAAUGAUCAAAAUAAAGACGAGUCUUGAAAGCUCCGUCUUCUCAAAA
Long non-coding RNA from Lactuca sativa (garden lettuce), 7444 nucleotides. RefSeq lists it as uncharacterized. NCBI's taxonomy places the organism in Eukaryota, Viridiplantae, Streptophyta, Magnoliopsida, Asterales, Asteraceae. The record is from RefSeq and is a predicted model, not a curated record.